CCCAGACUCCUACGGGAGGCAGCAGUGGGGGAUAUUGCACAAUGGGGGGAACCCUGAUGCAGCGACGCCGCGUGGGUGAAGGAGUGCUUCGGCAUGUAAAGCCCUAUCGGCAGGGAAGAAGCAAGACGGUACCUGACUAAGAAGCCCCGGCUAACUACGUGCCAGCAGCCGCGGUAAUACGUAGGGGGCGAGCGUUAUCCGGAUUCACUGGGUGUAAAGGGAGCGUAGACGGCCAUGCAAGCCAGGGGUGAAAGCCCGGGGCCCAACCCCGGGACUGCCCUUGGAACUGCAUGGCUGGAGUGCGGGAGGGGCAGGCGGAAUUCCUAGUGUAGCGGUGAAAUGCGUAGAUAUUAGGAGGAACGCCAGUGGCGAAGGCGGCCUGCUGGGCUUUUACUGACGCUGAGGCUCGAAAGUGUGGGGAGCAAACAGGAUUAGAUACCCUCGUAGCA
This 449-nucleotide ribosomal RNA is filed under the name uncultured bacterium. RNAcentral describes it as "bacterial SSU rRNA". It matches the Rfam family "Bacterial small subunit ribosomal RNA", at positions 330 to 795 of the family's 1533-position model. The record is from RNAcentral.